UCUACCAGGUGUCCUGUGUAGCCUAUAUCCUGUCUAUCAGGUGUCCUGUGUAGAGCCUAUAUCCUGUCUAUCAGGUGCCCUGUGUAGCCUAUGUCUUGUCUAUCAGGUGUCCUGUUCUGUGUAGCCUAUGUCCUGUCUAUCAGGUGUCCUGUCCUGUGUAGCCUAUAUCCUGUCUAUUAGGUGUCCUGUUCUGUGUAGCCUAUGUCCUGUCUAUCAGGUGUCCUGUGUAGCCUAUAUCCUGUCUAUCAGGUGUCCUGUUCUGUGUAGUCUAUAUCCUGUCUAUCAUUCCAAAGGAGUUACAUAUUGUAUAUAUAUUUCACAUUAGUUUGCUGGUAAAAGUUGAAUAUAUGCUGUGGAACUUGAGGCCAUUGUUACCCUGUCU
Oncorhynchus keta (chum salmon) is the source of this 382-nucleotide long non-coding RNA. RefSeq lists it as uncharacterized. The transcript has 3 exons. NCBI's taxonomy places the organism in Eukaryota, Metazoa, Chordata, Actinopteri, Salmoniformes, Salmonidae. The record is from RefSeq and is a predicted model, not a curated record.